This is a non-coding RNA of Meleagris gallopavo (turkey), 3007 nucleotides long. The record is from RefSeq and is a predicted model, not a curated record. Lineage: Eukaryota; Metazoa; Chordata; Aves; Galliformes; Phasianidae.
GCGGUGGACAGGGCGCGGAGCGGCCGCCUCUCGCCGUCUGGCCCGGCUCAGCCGCCUCAGCUCGCCGCGGAGGAAAGCACGUGCUUCCCUCGCACUCUCGUGGAGCUUACAGACCUUACCAGUGUUCUUGGAGCUGCGUACCAAUGGGCUGCACUAUUAGUGGAUGCAGAUGGCAGUACUUAGACAUCAGCCUACAUGAGUAGUUGCACUGAGACCUGGAGCUGGCGCCUGGAGUGAAGUGCUGCCAUUUGGCACUCUUGUCUUGGAAAUCCCACCAUGAACAAGUGCCAGCACACAUCUGCUGUGUCAGAAGCUGCAAUUGGAGACCUUCACUAUCGUCAUACCUUGGCUGCAGAAAGAGUUGCAGAUGGCAGUCACAAUGUAAUGGACUCACUUUUGUGCUGUCUCUGUGAGAUUUAGUCCCGGUAGAUCUGUCAUCUAUUUCCAAGGCCAUAACUUUACUUCUGGCUGUUGAAAAUUAAUUUUGUUGUCCUAUCACAUAUUUACCAGCCAUGUGCAGAACUUCUUUGCAGUAGUGAAUCAUUCCAGUUUGGACAUGGCAACAUUUGUUCCUAGGUUCAAUUUGUGUUUGACUCUUUUGCUCCGUAACUCUUCUUGCUUUGCAAAUCUUUAAUAUGAAUCAGGAAGAAAUGCUUCUGCUGAUGGAAAAGAAUGUCACAGGAGAACUUUGCAAAAUUUAAAGAAGUUUUGCUGCUAUUUCUGGUAUUUAAAUUCCUGGGUACACACAGAUGUAACGUAGAGCUGUCUUAAGUUGUUCUGAAAGACCUUGAGUCUCUUACGGGCCUCAGGUACCCACUGUGUUAGGAUGAGUGUGUUGAAGGUUGCCUCCAUGCACCUCCAGCUGCACUUGGUGUGCUCAUACAGUUGAGAAUCUGCUAAAAACGUAACCUAGCGUUUAUCUCAGACUUGAAGCCUGUUGAAAAUGGCAGAAAGAAUAUUUUUGCUUGCUGCUUCUAGGGAAGUUGCCAUGAUUAGAAUACACAUAACAAUAUUUCUUUGUUUAACUUUAUUCUACAUUUGGACAUGGAAAAGCAUAAAAAAGAGAAGGAUAUUAAAAGACUGCAUAUUGCUUUUGUUAUUAUUUUUAUCAGAUACUGCACUGUUUCUGUUCAAGCCCAUCUAGCUAACAAUCAUGUGAAAUAAAUGUUUUCUGGUUUUCUGUCACAGGAUUUCUAUAUAGCAUUCAGUGGCUGCUCCUUAACUUUGGGACUUAUGGUGGCAUUUUCUGCAUUUCUGCUGUGUGCUUUUCCAGUGGAGACUCAGAAAAGCCAAGAGAUUCUGUUUCCCCCACAAACAUAAAACUGAUGUAGGGCUCUCCAAGAUCCUGGCCAUGCACAGGGGAAAGGAUUAGAAAGAAAGCAUGAUGUGGUCGAAAGAGAUGUGCUGGGUAUUGUGUCUUUAGGAGAGACUGUUCCCAUUGGGAGACAAAAGUACAAGUGGAAAAGCUCAUGCAUGGGAACCCUGUGCUGCAGACAGAUCUUUUUGUUUUACAUUUUUGAAUUCAGGAUGCCUAUUCUCUGAUACCUUGCACAACACGAGAAGGGCUACAAGAGGCUGAAAAGAACCAGCAGGGAAUAAUUAGAAAGGAAGAAGAAAGGAUGUUAGAAAAAGAAAAUGCAGAGGAGGAGGGAAAGCCUGCCUCUAUUUCAAAGCAAUCUUCCCUCUGACUGUGAGGAAAGGUUGGUGUGUCUGAGCACGCUCUGUAAUUUGCUGAAACUCACAUCCUGUAAUUUAGCCACUAGGUGUGUUUGUAUGGAAAUACAGAACUAAAAGCAAUUCAGAGUAUGUCAGGAAGUUGAAAUGGUGUUUGCAUUUCUUGGGACUCUUUGUCCAGUUGGAGUACCCUUAACCUGUUUGGGAAUGCAGGCUUGGCAAAAAUCAUUAGCAGAAAAAGGAAAAAUUACUAUUUUCCUUUCAGAGCUUCUCAAUCAUUAGGGAGCUGUACUGGAAGUGUUAAUGUACUGCUAUUUGAGAAGCUUGUUCAGGACCUGCCACCAAAAUGCAGUGACUGAAAAGCCAUAAAAAGCCAUAAAAAGCCACUUUUCAAUCUAGGAAUAUUCAGCAGGAGUAUUGAGAUACCUCUGCUUUGUAGUAGGGUGUACAGUCAUUUGUCUCAGAUUUUUGUUGGUGGUGUUUUGUUUGUUUUCUUUUUUCUUCAGAAGCAAUUCUCGCACUUUCUUACUGAAUUUAAUAUUUUUGGUGGGGCAGCUAGCUGACUUCCACCUCCUUUUGCAGUAUGGAAACCAUGGCCAUGGUCCCCUCAAACCUGACACUGAUUUUUCAGGCCUUGGCAGCGUCUGCAGUUGGAUGAGUUGUUGAUCUGAUAUUUCUGUUACCAGUUGUGUGUACAGAGCCCAUGCUUUGGAUUCUUUCAGAGCUAGAUCCACACCACGCAAGGUGCUUGGUAAAGCACAAAGCAAAAGUCAAGGUUUGGAGAUGGUGAUGGAAGUACUAGACAAGAAGCUAGAAAGGGAAAUAUAGCAAAACAGUGAGAUCGCAUCUGUCAGGUCAACAAGUAAUGUUUGCCUCCACCUCAUUUCCAUUGAUGUUUCCAUCUCAAUGCAUCUCACUCACUGGUGUUGCUGGUGGAUAUGCUGAAGCUUUAAAAUAAUGUCACCUACAGUAAUCAGCAGCAGCCUGAAAUAUCCAGCCCGGACACAGUGGGUAAUGCAGUUCAUUUAAAGACAUCUGGCUCAAACAGAUCACACCCAAACCAGAAUCAAGCUUUGAGUGGCUUAUUAUUUGAGGGGAUGUUUGUGUAGGAACACUCCGGAGAUUUUCCAGGUACCUGUGUACACAGGCAUGGCAUGUUUAAUCAAAAAUUAAUGUUAAAUUUUGUUUUGUUGUUACUAGAACUGUUUCUUCACUGAUCACUUUUCCUGGCGACCAUGAGAGGAUAGUGUUAAAAACGAUCUUGUGGGAAGUUUUGAAGGAAUUUAAUCAAAGGUUGUUGUUGCCCGCUCAGUGUAUCUGCAGAAACAGAAAU